AAAAAGGUCUUUUUCAAGACCACCAAAACAACGGUUCACCAAGCG
Acyrthosiphon pisum (pea aphid) is the source of this 45-nucleotide non-coding RNA. The record is from Rfam. Lineage: Eukaryota; Metazoa; Arthropoda; Insecta; Hemiptera; Aphididae.